UACGAAGGGGGCUAGCGUUGUUCGGCAUUACUGGGCGAAAAGCGCGGAUAGGCGGGCCGUUAAGUCGGGGGUGAAAGCCCAGAGCUCAACUCUGGAACUGCCUUCGAUGCUGGCGGCCUGGAGCAUGAUAGAGGCGAGUGGAAUUGCGAGUGUAGAGGUGAAAAUCGUAGAUUAUCGCAGGAACACCAGUGGCGGAGGCGACUCGCUGGCUCCUUGCUGACGCUGAGGCGCGAAAGCGUGGGGAGCAAUCAGG
RNAcentral lists this ribosomal RNA (253 nucleotides) under uncultured bacterium. Its description in RNAcentral is "partial 16S ribosomal RNA". It matches the Rfam family "Bacterial small subunit ribosomal RNA", at positions 524 to 776 of the family's 1533-position model. The record is from RNAcentral.